This 430-nucleotide ribosomal RNA is filed under the name bacterium. RNAcentral's name for it is "partial 16S ribosomal RNA". It matches the Rfam family "Bacterial small subunit ribosomal RNA", at positions 355 to 776 of the family's 1533-position model. The record is from RNAcentral.
UGGGGAAUAUUGGACAAUGGGCGGAAGCCUGAUCCAGCCAUGCCGCGUGUGUGAAGAAGGCCUUUUGGUUGUAAAGCACUUUAAGCGAGGAGGAGGCUACUUGGAUUAAUACUCUAGGAUAGUGGACGUUACUCGCAGAAUAAGCACCGGCUAACUCUGUGCCAGCAGCCGCGGUAAUACAGAGGGUGCGAGCGUUAAUCGGAUUUACUGGGCGUAAAGCGUGCGUAGGCGGCUUCUUAAGUCGGAUGUGAAAUCCCUGAGCUUAACUUAGGAAUUGCAUUCGAUACUGGGAAGCUAGAGUAUGGGAGAGGAUGGUAGAAUUCCAGGUGUAGCGGUGAAAUGCGUAGAGAUCUGGAGGAAUACCGAUGGCGAAGGCAGCCAUCUGGCCUAAUACUGACGCUGGGGUACGAAAGCAUGGGGAGCAAACAGG